GAUGAACGCUGGCGGCGUGCCUAAUACAUGCCAGUCGAGCGAACAGACGAGGAGCUUGCUCCUUCGACGUUAGCGGCGGACGGGUGAGUAACACGUAGGUAACCUACCUAUAAGACUGGGAUAACUUCGGGAAACCGGAGCUAAUACCGGAUAAUAUUUCGAACCGCAUGGUUCGAUAGUGAAAGAUGGCUUUGCUAUCACUUAUAGAUGGACCUGCGCCGUAUUAGCUAGUUGGUAAGGUAACGGCUUAUCAAGGCAACGAUACGUAGCCGACCUGAGAGGGUGAUCGGCCACACUGGAACUGAGACACGGUCCAGACUCCUACGGGAGGCAGCAGUAGGGAAUCUUCCGCAAUGGGCGAAAGCCUGACGGAGCAACGCCGCGUGAGUGAUGAAGGUCUUCGGAUCGUAAAACUCUGUUAUUAGGGAAGAACAAACGUGUAAGUAACUGUGCACGUCUUGACGGUACCUAAUCAGAAAGCCACGGCUAACUACGUG
This 497-nucleotide ribosomal RNA is filed under the name uncultured bacterium. RNAcentral's name for it is "partial 16S ribosomal RNA". It matches the Rfam family "Bacterial small subunit ribosomal RNA", at positions 28 to 507 of the family's 1533-position model. The record is from RNAcentral.